UUUAGGAGACUGGAGCCCAGGAGUCUUGGGGACCACAGUCCGCACUCUGCCCUCCCAGAAGACACAGACGUGGCCUGUAGCGGCCGGGUGGGAGACCUGGCAUUUCCCCCAACAGACCCUGACACCCUUUGGCACAGACCUGUGGUUCUCAAAGCCCAGUUCCCAGACCUGCAGCAUCAGGUUUUAUUUCCUGCCAGACCUUCCAGACCAGAACAUCAGCUUCACCACCCCCAGACCCUCUGAGCCAGGGUCCCCACAGGGAGUGAGAAUUGGUCCUGCCCUCGAGGACUUGCAGACCUGCUGGGGACAGAUACACGAAGCAGGAAAUGACAAAGUAACGUGGAAGCAGAGGGGCGAAGCUGGACUCAGGUGUUGCCGGCACACAGAGAAGGACCAGCCAGGUGACGGGUCCCGUGUGGACAUCCGGCCAGCCUGGAGU
Balaenoptera musculus (blue whale) is the source of this 439-nucleotide long non-coding RNA. RefSeq lists it as uncharacterized. Lineage: Eukaryota; Metazoa; Chordata; Mammalia; Artiodactyla; Balaenopteridae. The record is from RefSeq and is a predicted model, not a curated record. The transcript has 3 exons.